Molecule: non-coding RNA, 81 nt
Organism: Myotis brandtii (Brandt's bat)
Lineage: Eukaryota; Metazoa; Chordata; Mammalia; Chiroptera; Vespertilionidae
Source: Rfam
GGCAGUUCUCAGGUGACACACCCCGGAACCAGAGAGAAGGGAGGGGAGCCCGAUUCCAGGGUGCGUCACCCGAGAACUGCC